This 416-nucleotide ribosomal RNA is filed under the name Escherichia coli. Its description in RNAcentral is "bacterial SSU rRNA". It matches the Rfam family "Bacterial small subunit ribosomal RNA", at positions 589 to 1004 of the family's 1533-position model. Lineage: Bacteria; Pseudomonadati; Pseudomonadota; Gammaproteobacteria; Enterobacterales; Enterobacteriaceae. The record is from RNAcentral.
CAGAUGUGAAAUCCCCGGGCUCAACCUGGGAACUGCAUCUGAUACUGGCAAGCUUGAGUCUCGUAGAGGGGGGUAGAAUUCCAGGUGUAGCGGUGAAAUGCGUAGAGAUCUGGAGGAAUACCGGUGGCGAAGGCGGCCCCCUGGACGAAGACUGACGCUCAGGUGCGAAAGCGUGGGGAGCAAACAGGAUUAGAUACCCUGGUAGUCCACGCCGUAAACGAUGUCGACUUGGAGGUUGUGCCCUUGAGGCGUGGCUUCCGGAGCUAACGCGUUAAGUCGACCGCCUGGGGAGUACGGCCGCAAGGUUAAAACUCAAAUGAAUUGACGGGGGCCCGCACAAGCGGUGGAGCAUGUGGUUUAAUUCGAUGCAACGCGAAGAACCUUACCUGGUCUUGACAUCCACGGAAGUUUUCAGA